RNAcentral lists this non-coding RNA (26 nucleotides) under Cricetulus griseus (Chinese hamster). Lineage: Eukaryota; Metazoa; Chordata; Mammalia; Rodentia; Cricetidae. The record is from RNAcentral.
CGCGCGUGUGCGCGGCUGAGCGAGGG